CACGUAGUUAGCCGUGACUUUCUGGCGGGGCACCAUCAGUCAGCACCCAUUUCCUGAUGCUGCCUUUUUUCCCCCGCAACAGAGCUUUACGACCCGAAGGCCUUCUUCACUCACGCGGCAUCGCUCGUUCAGGCUUGCGCCCAUUGACGAAAAUUCCCUACUGCCGCCUCCCGCAGGAGUCUGGGCCGUGUCUCAGUCCCAAUGUGGCCGUCCGCCCUCUCAGGCCGGCUAUGCAUCAUCGUCUUGGUGGGCCUUUACCCGCCAACCAACUAAUGCACCGCAGGUCCAUCCGCGCCCCAUCCCCCUAAAGGAUGUUUCACAGAAAGAAGAUGCCUCCUUCCUGUACAUCGGGAUUGUUCUCCGUUUCCAGAGCGUAUUCCCGGUGCACGGGUCGUACCGUACCGUGUUACUCUACCGUUCCGUCCACCUAGAGACCGAACGUACGUCUCGUUCGACUGUCAUGUAUUAGGUCGAUGUCCGCCGACGACGGUCCUACUACCUCGUACGG
Molecule: ribosomal RNA, 508 nt
Filed under: uncultured Erysipelotrichaceae bacterium
Lineage: Bacteria; Bacillati; Bacillota; Erysipelotrichia; Erysipelotrichales; Erysipelotrichaceae
Description: partial 16S ribosomal RNA
Source: RNAcentral